This 633-nucleotide long non-coding RNA is filed under the name Heterocephalus glaber (naked mole-rat). RNAcentral describes it as "lncRNA (ENSHGLG00000045963.1)". Lineage: Eukaryota; Metazoa; Chordata; Mammalia; Rodentia; Bathyergidae. The record is from RNAcentral.
UGGCUGGAUGCAGACCCUGGGCUUCUUGGGUCAGUUCUACUGUAGUCUGCACACUGAAGGUAAUGCAGCCCCACUCACAAAGUUGCUGUGAGAAAUUAUCCAGCACAGGUGAAAAAAGUGCAGCAAACGGCCGGCUCCUCUCACACAGCGGCCCGCCGAGGCCUCCUCGCUGGCAGCAGGACUGUGUGCUCAGCCGCCCAGCCCGCUGUGCGUGGUGCGCUUCCCAUCCUGUCACAAGCACAGGUUGAUCGGGAGAGGAAAUCGGGCUGGGCUUCGGGAGUUUCUGUCCGGGUUGGUCGGCCCUGCUGCUUGGGGCCCGGCUGGGAGCGUGGAGGGACCAGCCCCUCCCCUCCCAAGACGAGGUGGCGCCAGGAGGGCGGGGAAUGCAUCUCCCUAGUCGCCAAGCUUCCCUCUCACUUCAACCUAUUUAGAAAUCAAAACCAAAAGGCGUGUUCACUUAAAAGAGGGUACAGACAUUCCUCAUGUGAUGACUGACUUCUGUUCCUGAGACGAGGUCGUUAAGUUCCUCUAGAGACUGCCUUAGAAACAAGAUGACCGCUCUGUAACCUCAAGAAACAAAGUAGCCCUUGAGGGCGGAGAAUGUUCAGAAAACUGGUAAACAAGGAAGCAGGU